CACACAAGUUAAACCAGGCAACAAACUCAUGUUUUAAAUAUGCUACUGUCUACUUCUAAAUAGCCAUUCCUUCACAACUGUGCCAUGACACAAUUUUUUGAAGCACAUAGCACCUAUUUGACUUGUAGUAGCCCAUGACUGACAUAGGCUGAGAAGGCCACACAAUAGUAUUCUGAAAUAUUUGUUUUCUUCCAAGAGUGACAAAUGGCAGAAUGGAAAGGACAACAUAAGGAAAGCUCAUCUGCCUGGUACACUGUUGUAGUGCGGGGAGGUUGUGGUAAGACCUCAGGAAGACAGUCCACUCACCCCAGAAGCAAAGAUAUUGCAGGAAAAAGAGCGUGCACAAGGAAGCCAGUUGGUUGCCCGUUACCAUGUGAAUGUGCGGCUGCUGGGACAAUGACCCUACCUGCCUCCACUGGAGCUUCCUCGGGGACCAGGCGCUGGGCUCCCCAAUCACCACGAGGCUUGUUAUUCUGCUCCUGUGUAUGGGUCUGGGCCUUUGUAAUGCGGACCUGCUGUCCACAAGUUCCCAAAGAUCCACCUGCUUGCUAGUGCACCACGUAUUUCCCUGGCCAGAAUGAACCAGAAGAUAGUAACUUUCCUAUCUGGGCUACAGAAUCAUCCAGAGAAACAAACAGCAAAGUGCAGAACUAUGAUUUGUAUCCUGCUUUGGAAAAAGAGUAACGAAGAAAUUUAACCUGAAUGAAAAAG
Molecule: long non-coding RNA, 711 nt
Organism: Zalophus californianus (California sea lion)
Lineage: Eukaryota; Metazoa; Chordata; Mammalia; Carnivora; Otariidae
Exons: 4
Source: RefSeq, a predicted model, not a curated record